CAUUAAAACACCGGUUUCUGUAUAAUCACCGAAGUUAAGCAACGUCGAGCCUGGUCAGUACCUAGAUGGGUGACUGCUUGGGAAUUCCAAGUGCUGUCAG
Molecule: non-coding RNA, 100 nt
Organism: Acanthosepion pharaonis
Lineage: Eukaryota; Metazoa; Mollusca; Cephalopoda; Sepiida; Sepiidae
Source: the annotation of a GenBank genome assembly